This is a non-coding RNA of Yarrowia lipolytica, 85 nucleotides long. NCBI's taxonomy places the organism in Eukaryota, Fungi, Ascomycota, Dipodascomycetes, Dipodascales. The record is from Rfam.
GGAAAGAUCUCCAAUGUUGGUAUUUGGAGUUGAGCUGUAGUCUCAAUGAUUAACUUCUUCGUAGGUUCAAUUCCUACUCUUUUCA